Non-coding RNA from Potamilus streckersoni, 68 nucleotides. The record is from the annotation of a GenBank genome assembly. Lineage: Eukaryota; Metazoa; Mollusca; Bivalvia; Unionida; Unionidae.
GGUGGCUUAAAGGUUAGAGCGCCCGCCCCGGAUGCGGGAGGUCGUGGGUUCGAUCCCCGUUAGAGCCA